CAUCACCAUCAGCCGCGCGAUGUCGUUGGCCAGCAUGUCGUCCACCGUGUCCAGCAGCUUGGGCUUCAGGGCCUGGAACUUGCUGAAGUCCUGGGUCUGCAGGAGUUCCUGUGGGCAGGGGAGGAAAGACAAGGGCUGGGAAGGGUGGCCCCUUCCCAGACUCCAGGCCAGGUGGUUCCAGUGAGGGCUUCUCAAGCAGAAAGUGCUGCUCCCCCCGACUAGCAGGGGCGACUCGGCGAACCCCUCUGGCUCUUGACUCUCUAACCUGUACACAGGAGGCAACUCCAGCUCUUUCCUUACAGGGCGGCAGCAAAGGAUUAAUGGACAGGGCACCAGAGCGGCUGGCACGGCCCUGCCCUCCCCCCACCAUGCAGGGUGAGUCACCACAUUCCCCUCUGCAGUGUCACCGCCUGGGUCAACUCUGAGUUGGGUGGGGUGCCGGUGAUUAACCCAGCUGCUUCCGUUCAGGGAGGCCCUUCCCCAUGGAGAUGGGAUUCCCUCCAAAUCCAGUGCCCUCGGCCUUCCUCUUGCCCUGAUGGCCACCAGCCUGCAUGGGGCCUCGGGACAGCCAUACCUGCAUCUUACGGAGGCUCGGGAAGUCCCCAGGGGAGAUCUGGUGCUCGCGCUCAAUCUUCUGGUAGAUCUCUCCCAGGUUGUUCACCAGCUCUUUCUUUUUGCUCUCUUUACCAAAGACAUUGGGCAUCUCCUUCUUGAGGGAGCUGAUGAUGUAGGCGUGAACCUGUGAGGACGGGGGUGGCCAUCAGGCGCUGUCUUGGUCCAGGCUGCCCCCGAGAGCAGAGCCUCCAAGGACACUCCAAGGAUACUCCAAGCCCCCUUCCCCCAAGCUGGGAGCAGGCUUCCUGCAGGGCCUACCAACCUGCAUGUCCAAAUCCCUGCCGAGUGCUGACGGAGCCCACAGAACUCCAGUGGGCCCGUGCCACACUCCACUCCAUCAUCACAGCUCAGAUGACGAAGGAUUCAAAACAUCCCACAAAGGCUUCUCCUGGCAGCUGCCAGCUUUAUCCAAGCGUCAAUACCUUGCUUAGACGUGCCAGUUCAGGGCGGUACCCCCUUCAUUUCCCCGCAGCAAGCUGGGAACCUGGCACCCCUCGAGAGCAGCCCAGCCCUCAGAUCCCUUGGCCUUGCCAAGUUGUGUCCAGCCACGGAGGGCUGCGGCCAGCCAGCCUCGCUGCCCUUCUCCCCGGCUCCAGCCCAUCCACUACCCCACUCAGCCUAAGCCUGUCUGCCCUGGGUGGGGGCCUGGUUGAAAACUGCCUGAGGGAGACAGCCCCGUGCCAUGUGGGUCUAGAUCUAGGGUCUCCCAGGGACACUGUGGCAGGCAGAUCCCAGGCCGGUGGGAGUCACCACAGAAAGCACCAUUCACUCCAGGAAAAGGAAGUGGCAGGUGUGAGGCAACACUGGAGGCCACAGAGUUUCCCAGGCGUGGUGACUCAGUGUGCCUAGGGCCUGGCGGUCACACACGGUCUCACAGACAAACAGGCAGGGCUCAUGCCCACCCCUUGUCCUGUCUGUCCUCAAAGGUGGCUGAGCAGGGGAGUUCUUUCUGCCUUGCAAGGAGAGGGCCUCAGUCAGGG
Molecule: non-coding RNA, 1595 nt
Organism: Macaca mulatta (Rhesus monkey)
Lineage: Eukaryota; Metazoa; Chordata; Mammalia; Primates; Cercopithecidae
Source: RefSeq, a predicted model, not a curated record